AGGCCUCAUGCCCAGGUAUAUCGCAUCUCUGUAGUCAGCCGAGAUGUGAUGAAGGGAUGAAUAACUGAGACCAGAUCUCCACCCACCAGGAUGGGAUGGAGUUUCCUAGCCAACUGGAAACAAUAGACCAUAUUUAGGGACAGGGAAGAGGCUUCUCCAGGACUGAGGCCUCUCACCACUUCCACAACAGCCUCAGACACAGGGUGCCUUCUAGAGAUGACCUGCAACCUGAAUGAAGGAAACCUUUGCUAAUAACGAAGGAGCAGGAGUUGGACUUUAAGAAGAUUGUGCUGUGCAGCUCUGAGCGUACCGGGUAUAAACUCCUGGCACACGGAUAAAGCCACAUGAAUUUUACAUGUGACAGAGCAAGUUACA
This is a long non-coding RNA of Mauremys mutica (yellowpond turtle), 375 nucleotides long. RefSeq lists it as uncharacterized. The transcript is spliced from 3 exons. The record is from RefSeq and is a predicted model, not a curated record. NCBI's taxonomy places the organism in Eukaryota, Metazoa, Chordata, Testudines, Geoemydidae.